Molecule: ribosomal RNA, 499 nt
Filed under: uncultured bacterium
Lineage: Bacteria
Description: partial 16S ribosomal RNA
Rfam family: Bacterial small subunit ribosomal RNA
Source: RNAcentral
GAUGAACGCUAGCGGCAGGCCUAAUACAUGCAAGUCGAGGGGCAGCAGGAAUAGCAAUAUUUGCUGGCGACCGGCGCACGGGUGCGUAACACGUAUACAAUCUGCCUUCUACAGGGGGAUAGCCUUUCGAAAGAGAGAUUAAUACCCCAUAACACAAGAAAUAGCAUUAUUUUUUGUUGAAGGAUCCGUCGGUAGAAGAUGAGUAUGCGGGGGAUUAGCUAGUUGGUGAGGUAACGGCUCACCAAGGCAACGAUCAGUAGGGGAUCUGAGAGGACUACCCCCCACACUGGUACUGAGACACGGACCAGACUCCUACGGGAGGCAGCAGUAAGUAAUAUUGGACAAUGGAGGCAACUCUGAUCCAGCCAUGCCGCGUGCAGGAUGAAGGCCCUAUGGGUCGUAAACUGCUUUUGUACGAGAGAAAACCUAUUUACGUGUAGAUAGUUGAUAGUAUCGUAAGAAUAAGGAUCGGCUAACUUCGUGCCAGCAGCCGCAGUAA